AGUACUUUUUCCUUUGGGAAGGUACCAUCUGUGAAGUCUGCAAUUCUGUUGAAGAAAGAUGUUGAAUCUAUUUAAUUAUUGUAGAAAAAUAAUUGAUUGAUUGAUUGAUAAACAAAGGAUGUGACUCUAAACUUAUGUUUCCGAGCACCAGCUUUCUCACAAACCCCUCCCUCCUGUCCCAGCUUUUUCUUCUUUUUAUUAAAGUUUCACUUUCACUUGUCCUGAACUUGGUGUCGCAGAUGAUCUUGUCGGUGUGAAUAUCCAUGUGAAGGCAGACUGCAGACUGGGAAACACCAGUCCUUCUUAGUCCUUCUACUCACAACAUAUAAGAAUCUAACUGGAACACGUCCUCUUACUGAGGUCUGCACUACGAAGCAGGAUUUGAUCUUAUCAAGCAUCAGAGUCACAGCAGGAAGUUGUUGCUGUUGUAAUCAUUGUGUUCAAUGUGGCGGCAGCCAGAUCACAGAGAAGAAGCAAAGGAUUUUCUGUUUUUCUAAACAGACGUGUUCCACACAGUGGAGAACCAAAGAGUGAAGAAGUUCUUUGGAAGAAGCUGAGUAAGUGGAACUUUGAUUCAUUAGAGUCUCUGAGGUUUCGUCUUCAUCACAAAGCAGCUGCUGCUCUUUGUUAGUGUGUUUAUGCAGAGAACAGAUGAAGACUGUGAUGCAUUGGAUAAAGACUCAAAACCAAAAUGUGCCUUGAAUAUAAACUUGACAACAUCUACAAGUAGAUAUUUGGUUUACUCUCUUCUCUUCAGAUGAACAGUCUGUGUCAGUGUCUUCAGACGGCUGCAGGUUGUUACCAGCUUCAUUAAAUGUUUCUCAUUCUGCAUUUCAUAUCACAUCUGCCACUGUUUGAGCCUCUUUAACAGAGGAGAUCAGACUGUAACGUGAUAUUUAUUAAGACUCAGUUUUCUUGUGAACUCUGAACAGAUUAGAUUAGAUUAGAUACAGCCUCACAAAUCAAACUAUAAACUAUAAAACAAGUUCUGAUUUUAGCUCAGAUGGUUCAGAUGCUGGACUCCAGUCUGACUGAUACUCAAGUUGUUUUAUGGAGCGCCAAGGUUCAUGUUCAUUUGUUAAAUAUUCUUCAUAAUUCAUGGAGAAUAUUUAACAGGAAUCAGUGAGCGCCCCCUGCUGGUUCCCCCUGAGUGCUGCUUGUCAGUCUGCAGUGAUACUGCAGGAUGGAUUUAUGGAGGCUUUGAGGGAUUCACUGCAGUUCUUCUGUAGUUAGUCCCUCACAGCUACAUAGUCAGUCACAGUGCCACUGAUACGAGCUACACCAGUUCUAUAGUCCCUACAAACAACACAUGAAAUACUAACAGGCUGAAAAGGAGACCA
This is a long non-coding RNA of Oreochromis niloticus (Nile tilapia), 1340 nucleotides long. RefSeq lists it as uncharacterized. The transcript has 4 exons. The record is from RefSeq and is a predicted model, not a curated record. Lineage: Eukaryota; Metazoa; Chordata; Actinopteri; Cichliformes; Cichlidae.